Molecule: small RNA, 52 nt
Filed under: Arabidopsis thaliana (thale cress)
Lineage: Eukaryota; Viridiplantae; Streptophyta; Magnoliopsida; Brassicales; Brassicaceae
Description: ATSL007470
Source: RNAcentral
AAAUUCAUUAAAAGAGAUGUCCUUAGAUCUCAAUCAAAUAGUAACAAUAUGU